This is a non-coding RNA of Bombardia bombarda, 87 nucleotides long. The record is from the annotation of a GenBank genome assembly. Lineage: Eukaryota; Fungi; Ascomycota; Sordariomycetes; Sordariales; Lasiosphaeriaceae.
GGGUGACUAGUCUAGUGGUCAGGACGGUUCGUUGUGGCUUAAACCCCUCAAUCCGAACAAACCCCGGUUCGAUUCCGGGGUCGCCCA